GACGAACGCUGGCGGCGUGCUUAACACAUGCAAGUCGAACGGCAGCAUAAUCCUAGCUUGCUAGGAUGGUGGCGAGUGGCGAACGGGUGAGUAACGCGUAGGAAUAUACCUUAAAGUGGGGGACAACUUGGGGAAACUCAAGCUAAUACCGCAUAAUUUCUUCGGAAAAAGCUGGGGACCGUAAGGCCUGGCGCUUUAAGAUUAGCCUGCGUCCGAUUAGCUAGUUGGUAGGGUAAGGGCCACCAAGGCGACGAUCGGUAGCUGGUCUGAGAGGAUGGCCAGCCACACUGGGACUGAGACACGGCCCAGACUCCUACGGGAGGCAGCAGUGGGGAAUCUUGCGCAAUGGGCGAAAGCCUGACGCAGCGACGCCGCGUGAGGGAUGACGGCCU
RNAcentral lists this ribosomal RNA (392 nucleotides) under uncultured bacterium. Its description in RNAcentral is "bacterial SSU rRNA". It matches the Rfam family "Bacterial small subunit ribosomal RNA", at positions 28 to 417 of the family's 1533-position model. The record is from RNAcentral.